CCUACGGGUGGCAGCAGUGGGGAAUAUUGGACAAUGGGGGGAACCCUGAUCCAGCGACGCCGCGUGAGUGAAGAAGUAUUUCGGUAUGUAAAGCUCUAUCAGCAGGGAAGAAAGAAAUGACGGUACUUGACUAAGAAGCCCCGGCUAACUACGUGCCAGCAGCCGCGGUAAUACGUAGGGGGCGAGCGUUAUCCGGAUUCACUGGGUGUAUAGGGAGCGUUGACGGCCAUGCAAGCCAGAGGGGAAAGCCCGGGGCCCAACCCCGGGACUGCCCUUGGGACUGCAGGGCUAGAGUGCGGGAGAGGCAGGCGGAAUUCCUGGUGUAGCGGUGAAAUGCGUAGAUAUCAGGAGGAACACCGGCGGCGAAGGCGGCCUGCUGGACCAAGACUGACGUUGAGGCUCGAAAGCGUGGGGAGCGAACAGGAUUAGAUACCCGGGUAGUC
RNAcentral lists this ribosomal RNA (443 nucleotides) under uncultured bacterium. RNAcentral's name for it is "partial 16S ribosomal RNA". It matches the Rfam family "Bacterial small subunit ribosomal RNA", at positions 338 to 795 of the family's 1533-position model. The record is from RNAcentral.